AACUAGGAAGGUCAGAAGGCCCCUCCCCACACCUCAGAAGCCAGCACGGUCCCACAUUCUGUAGCCCUGGCAGGAUACCACAGACCCAGUAUCAAGUUCUCUCUACAUGUUAAUGCACCGUACCUCACACAGUAAUUGUCUAUUAGUCGCCUUUCCAGUUCUGUGACAAACUAUAUGAGCAGGACUUCGGAGGAUGGCAUGGUGCCCCACCCACGUUCAGGGUAGGUCUUUCUUCCUCAGCUAAAUCUCUGGACUCAUCCUUCGAGGUACAUACACAGGCUGUAAGUUCUCAGCUACAGUUCUGGUGGAUCCCUGCUAUGAUAAUCAUGGACUCACCCACUGAAACUAUGUUGACCACAGAAUCAGCGAUACAGCCUUAAAUCAGCCACAUGAAAUUCCUUACCCAGCCAUGUCUUCAUUUGGAAUAUCCAGAAGCAGAUCCAGAGCUCAACUCUGACACACGACUUCAUAUCUUAACAAGCACAGAGAGUACUUGGCCUUUGGGCCAGUCAUCUGACACUAUGUGACCCAGGAUCCCUCGACCACAUGACUGGCUUGCAAAUCUUCCACCAGACCAGACAGGACUGAAACUCUCACUGCAGCCUAAACCUCAUCCAAUGCAAUCUUUUCUCCCUUUCUCUUUCCCAGGGGUCAGACCAGAAACCAUGCUUGAAGACUCUGGUUGCUUACUCUAGCAGCUUCCUGCGGUGCCAGAAUAUUUUCCUUACAUGAGUGAUAAAGCCUCAGUAUUUUCUUCUUGGAAGACACAAAGUAACACAGAAAGGGAUUCAAGGGAGGACAGUGGGUGAGUGGGGAGAAGGAAAGGAAAAGGGGCUAGUGGUGCUGGUAAACCUGGAAAACUUUAUAGAGAGGUUCAGGUCACUGUCAGAACAGGAAGGAGCACAAGACCUGGAGUACUUACCUAAACCUCCUGUCCCUGGCAGGGUGAGGGUGACUCUAGGGGCAGUGACCAAUUCCAGGCGAGACACUGAGACUAGAUUAGGCAGUCCAACCUGAGUGUAAAAUCUUUUUCCUUAAUCCACACCCUCCACACUUAUUACAACAUGUGAAAGCUUAAGUUUGAAGUCAGCCUCAUACUCAUAAAUGACUACUCCCUUGUCUCAAUUUGAAAAUCCCAUCUCUUACUACAAUAUUCUAU
Molecule: long non-coding RNA, 1159 nt
Organism: Mus pahari (shrew mouse)
Lineage: Eukaryota; Metazoa; Chordata; Mammalia; Rodentia; Muridae
Exons: 4
Source: RefSeq, a predicted model, not a curated record